This 226-nucleotide unclassified non-coding RNA is filed under the name plant metagenome. Its description in RNAcentral is "partial contains small subunit ribosomal RNA, internal transcribed spacer 1, and 5.8S ribosomal RNA". The stretch from base 178 to 226 matches the Rfam family "5.8S ribosomal RNA", at positions 1 to 49 of the family's 154-position model. The record is from RNAcentral.
UUUCCGUAGGUGAACCUGCGGAAGGAUCAUUCAUAAUAAGUGUUUUACUGCACUUUUUAAAAAUAGUACUCACCUUGUGUGCAAUGUUGUGUUUCUUUUCGGAGAAACACCUACACCAACCUAUAACCUUGAACCACUUUGUCUGAAAAACUAUUAUGAAUACUUAAUUCAAAAUACAACUUUCAACAACGGAUCUCUUGGCUCUCGUAUCGAUGAAGAACGCAGC